Molecule: ribosomal RNA, 473 nt
Filed under: uncultured organism
Description: partial 16S ribosomal RNA
Rfam family: Bacterial small subunit ribosomal RNA
Source: RNAcentral
UACACUCCUGCGGGAGGCAGCAGUGGGGAAUUUUGGACAAUGGGCGAAAGCCUGAUCCAGCAAUGCCGCGUGAGUGAAGAAGGCCUUCGGGUUGUAAAGCUCUUUUGUCAGGGAAGAAACGGUGAGAGCUAAUAUCUUUUGCUAAUGACGGUACCUGAAGAAUAAGCACCGGCUAACUACGUGCCAGCAGCCGCGGUAAUACGUAGGGUGCAAGCGUUAAUCGGAAUUACUGGGCGUAAAGCGUGCGCAGGCGGUUUUGUAAGUCUGAUGUGAAAUCCCCGGGCUCAACCUGGGAAUUGCAUUGGAGACUGCAAGGCUAGAAUCUGGCAGAGGGGGGUAGAAUUCCACGUGUAGCAGUGAAAUGCGUAGAUAUGUGGAGGAACACCGAUGGCGAAGGCAGCCCCCUGGGUCAAGAUUGACGCUCAUGCACGAAAGCGUGGGGAGCAAACAGGAUUAGAAACCCGGGUAUCCCA